Long non-coding RNA from Malaya genurostris, 774 nucleotides. RefSeq lists it as uncharacterized. The record is from RefSeq and is a predicted model, not a curated record. The transcript has 3 exons. NCBI's taxonomy places the organism in Eukaryota, Metazoa, Arthropoda, Insecta, Diptera, Culicidae.
CACGGGUGAAAACACUUACAAAGAUGAUAACUUCCCGUACAGGUAGAACUCGAUUGUGUAGGCAAUGUUUUUUUUUAAUUUUCCCAUGAAAAGGUUGGGUAAGAUCCGUUUAAAUGUGAUGGACAAGAAGAAAUGGAGAGCGAUCCACAAAGCAUUCGUACCUUGACUGGCUGGCGACGAGCAGCCAUGGCCCUAGUUAUAUGGAGACGUAUGUUUGGUACAGCAAAGGGCACCCCAGAACUAUAGCUGCUAGGCAAGGUAUGUAAAUUGAGAAAAUGGAAUCGAGCCAAGAACAGAAACGCGCUGAACUUUCUUUCAUGUAUCACGAAAAUACGAACUACUCGCACAACAUGUUGGAAAAUUGUUGAAUGUGACCGAAUCAACUGAUACAGACAACGAUUUGAUUUGGAUAUGCGACAAUUUUUUUACGGAAAUUUUCGGUAGUCAUCAGAAUAACCGAUUUCUCAGGAAAUAUUUUUUCAAACCAAAAGGUAAAGUUGAAUAAUCGCUGAUUACGGUAAAAUACACUUCCAAUCGCCCGAUUUCGGUGAACUCGAUACACACGGAACCUCUCACGAUCGCGAAACAACCAAAAUAUUUGUUGAUUAUCUGAAUUUGAUUGGUUGAAAUUUGGUAAAACUAAUCGAUUGUUGUGUUUUCUAAACUGUCAUUUUUGUUUUUCGAUCAACAGAAACGAUGGUUGAAACAACAAAUUUUUUGGUUGAAAAAAAGACCUAUCAAUUUCAAUAAACAUAAUAAUAAUAAGUUACAACA